This 29-nucleotide transfer RNA is filed under the name Trachemys dorbigni. RNAcentral describes it as "partial transfer RNA-Thr". The record is from RNAcentral. RNAcentral also lists the same sequence under 1 other name. Lineage: Eukaryota; Metazoa; Chordata; Testudines; Emydidae.
AACAUUCUAGUAGCUUAACUCAUUAAAGC